GUGCCAGCAGCCGCGGUAAUACGAAGGGGGCUAGCGUUGUUCGGAAUUACUGGGCGUAAAGCGAGCGUAGGUUGCUCGAUAGGUCAGUGGUGAAAGCCCAGAGCUCAACUCUGGAACUGCCAUUGAAACUGUCGAGCUGGAAUCUCAGAGGGGGUAGCGGAAUUCCAAAUGUAGGGGUGAAAUCCGUAGAUAUUUGGAGGAACACCGGUGGCGAAGGCGGCUACCUGGAUGAGUAUUGACACUGAGGCUCGAAAGCGUGGGGAUCAAACAGGAUUAGAUACCCUGGUAGUCCACGCUGUAAACGAUGGAUGCUAGUUGUUGGGGGGUUCCCUCUCAGUGACGAAGCUAACGCAUUAAGCAUCCCGCCUGGGGAGUACGGUCGCAAGAUUAAAACUCAAAGAAAUUGGCGG
This 410-nucleotide ribosomal RNA is filed under the name uncultured bacterium. Its description in RNAcentral is "bacterial SSU rRNA". It matches the Rfam family "Bacterial small subunit ribosomal RNA", at positions 505 to 916 of the family's 1533-position model. The record is from RNAcentral.